AGUCCUAAUUCUUCCCCCCAGCAUUUUCGAUGGAUGCCCCCUGGUUCUACUAUUGUGAGAAAGAGAGAAAAAUUUCUCUCCGUCGACAUUUUCUACCCCAUGCAUAAUUUUAUAGACAACGCAAAAAGCAAAGUUAAAAGCCUCAUGAGAUGAUAAUAAGGACUUUUAAUCAGUGCGUAAUGGUAAUUACACCCAGCGCACUUGCCCGCUAUCAGGAGAAAAAUCUGGCCCUCUCUAAAACAAGGCUGCAAUUCAGAAAAGAUCUAGCACUCCAGAGUUUGCUCGUGGGCACGAAUUUUUUUUUGGGGGGGGGGGGUUGGAGCGUGCACAUACCUUCUCCCUUUUGUGGGGUCGAGGGCCGCUAAACAGGGUGCCCGUUUCACAAGACCUUUGCCCAACUCUUACCCCGGCAUCUCCUUGGCUGCUGUCCCGAAGGCUCUCGUAGCUGAACACGUCAGCUAUGAGACAUUUAAUACGUUUCCACAGCAAGGCUGGUGGUUUCCCACUAUGGCUUGCCGGUUACAGUGCGGAAGCAUUGCCAUCUCUGUUGGUGAGAACGAACCCAGAGCUUUGCUUGGGCCAAGCAGAGACGGCCCUCCAGGAAUCCCUCGCAGCCAGCUUGUCCAAGCGAUUGCGUGUCUGUACUUCUCACGAGUAGCCAGGAGGCUUUGAGAGAAGCCCGCGCUGCUUGUCUCUUCUCCAGACUGUGGAAUUGUGUCGGCCUUCACUUCUGCGGUUCUCUUGCGUUGGAAGGACCGAAGCAGACUGACCCUCCGUGUAUUAACUAGAAAGUAAAUCCCAUUGAUCUGUGGGGAAUACUUGCUAGUAAGGACACAAAGGAUGCCAGCAGAAAGCAUUCUGUCGAAUUUGAGGCUUGGAACUGAGGCCUUUCUGUUCGCCACCACGGCUCUAACAGUGUUAUUUGCUAUGCGUAGUUUACAGUUUUAAAAAAACUGUUAUUAAUACCCAAAUUUCGGCUUGGUUCACAUGCAGCCGCCCGCUAUAUUGUGCUGCUCCGGGAAUGGGGGUGGGAAGGCUUGUGUUGUAGUGUUCCCCCCCUCCCCGAUGCUCUCUGCGCAUGGCCAGCAAACACAGGUGGACAUAGCUUGCCCAUGGUGUGCAGACUGGCAAAGGAUGAUGUGUGUUUUCCCUGACAGCGGUUCAAACCUUGCUGGUAGGGAAAGAACAAAGCAUAAUUGGCUGGUUUGGAGGCAGCAGCAAAUUUUUGGUUCUUUCCAACCUAGAAAUUAUUUUACCUCGAGGCUGGGAGGGGGGGGUGAGGAAAUGUGACCCUCAGGAUUCUCUCCCACCCCCCCCACCCCAGCGACUGAGGUUGUCUCUUCUAGGACCCUGGAGCUGCUGGGGCCAGUGACAGAAGGCUGUGUCCAGCUAGUGGAGGGCCCGAGAAUUAUUCUUGGGCAUUCACCAAAUACGGGCCGAAAAGUCACGUGACACACGUGUGCUGCACAGUGGCUUGUGUAUAUUACAAAUAUUUUUUCAGUGUAUAAACACACAUAAAAUGCAAUUGCUAUUACUAAAUCUUUCCUCUCGUUACAAAUAUCUCCAAUGGGAGAACUUCAGUAACACCGAUGCAGUCAAACAACCUCCUUCAAUGUUAUCAGCACAGUUCGCCUCAAUAAAGGCUUAUAACCUCACCUGUUGUCUCUUGUCAUAGAUGUUAUACUUUAAAUCGGUGGCUGAAUAAUUGUCUUUAAAUUCAUGAAUUAUUUUCUUUCAGGUGGAAACACGAUCACCACUUUCAUGAAUGGAUGCAAUAUUCUUAUGAUCGCAUCUCCCUCCGGAGUAAUGUUAAGCAGGCUGGUUAAAGGAGCCAUGCUUCCACAUCGGGCAUGUUAAUAUUACAGAAGGUACACCGAUGAUCUUUUGUUCAUCAUGCGACCUAAUUUCAACUUUAGUUCCUUUCUAUCAUGGUUAAAAAGUCUACAUGCCUCAAUUAAAUUUACUGGAGAACAAAAUCAGAAGGCAAUAAAUUUUUUGGGCACAUGGAUAAUGCUGGAUGACAAUCAAAAUCACCGAUUUGAAGUAUAACAUCUAUGACAAGGGACAACAGAUGAGGUUAUAAGCCUUUAUUGAGGCAAACUGUGUUGAUAACAUUGGAGGAGGUUGUUUGACUGCAUCGGUGUUACUGAAGUUCUCCCAUUGGAGAUAUUUGUAACGAGAGUAAAGAUUUAGUAAUAGCAAUUGCAUUUUAUGUAUGUUUAUACACUGAAAAAAAUAUUUGUAAUAUACACAAGCCACUGUGCAGCA
Molecule: long non-coding RNA, 2268 nt
Organism: Sphaerodactylus townsendi
Lineage: Eukaryota; Metazoa; Chordata; Lepidosauria; Squamata; Sphaerodactylidae
Exons: 2
Source: RefSeq, a predicted model, not a curated record